Molecule: ribosomal RNA, 227 nt
Filed under: uncultured bacterium
Lineage: Bacteria
Description: partial 16S ribosomal RNA
Rfam family: Bacterial small subunit ribosomal RNA
Source: RNAcentral
UGAGUAACACGUAUCCAACCUGCCGUCUACUCUUGGACAGCCUUCUGAAAGGAAGAUUAAUACAAGAUGGCAUCAUGAGUCCGCAUGUUCACAUGAUUAAAGGUAUUCCGGUAGACGAUGGGGAUGCGUUCCAUUGGAUAGUAGGCGGGGUAACGGCCCACCUAGUCUUCGAUGGAUAGGGGUUCUGAGAGGAAGGUCCCCCACAUUGGAACUGAGACACGGUCCAA